GACGAACGCUGGCGGCGUGCCUAAUACAUGCAAGUCGAACGCACAGUUUAUACCGUAGCUUGCUACACCAUAGACUGUGAGUUGCGAACGGGUGAGUUACGCGUAGCUAACCUGCCUGGUAGCGUGGGAUAACUAUUGGAAACGCUAGCUAAUACCGCAUAAUAUUGAUUAUUGCAUGAUAAUUGAUUGAAAGAUGCUAUUGCAUCACUACUAGUUGGCCCUGCGUUGUAUUAGCUAGUAGGUGAGGUAACGGCUCACCUAGGCGACGAUACAUAGCCGACCGGAGAUGGUGAGUGGCCACACUGAGACGGAGACACGGCACAGAGGGCUACGGGAGGCAGCAGGAGGGAAACGUCAGGAAUCGACGAAAGACUGACCGAGAAACGCCGAGUGAGGGAAGAAGGUUGUCGGAUCGUAGAGCUCGGUUGUAAGAGAAGAACGGGCGUGAGAGUGGAAAGUUCACAGUGUGACGGUAACUUAUCAGAAAGGGACGGCUAACUACGUG
This 505-nucleotide ribosomal RNA is filed under the name uncultured bacterium. Its description in RNAcentral is "partial 16S ribosomal RNA". It matches the Rfam family "Bacterial small subunit ribosomal RNA", at positions 28 to 507 of the family's 1533-position model. The record is from RNAcentral.